This 300-nucleotide ribosomal RNA is filed under the name uncultured archaeon. RNAcentral's name for it is "bacterial SSU rRNA". It matches the Rfam family "Bacterial small subunit ribosomal RNA", at positions 498 to 795 of the family's 1533-position model. The record is from RNAcentral.
GAACUAGCGGGGCACCGGGCGGGGGAUUGCGUGGGGGAGAAGCUUGGUGCGGAUUUAGGGGGAGGAAGGCGCGCGUAGGCGGCACUGCAAGUCACUUGUGAAAGCUCCGGGCUGAACCCGGUGGGGGCGAAGUGAUACUGCAGGGCUAGAGUGCGGAAGAGGCAGCUGGAAUUCGCGGUGUAGCGGUGAAAUGCGUAGAUAUCGAGAGGAACACCGGUGGCGAAGGCGGGCUGCUGGGCCGACACUGACGCUGAGGCGCGAAAGCUAGGGGAGCAAACAGGAUUAGAUACCCUAGUAGUC